Molecule: transfer RNA, 68 nt
Filed under: Marmota monax (woodchuck)
Lineage: Eukaryota; Metazoa; Chordata; Mammalia; Rodentia; Sciuridae
Description: tRNA.Ala
Rfam family: tRNA (bases 5-65)
About the family: Transfer RNA (tRNA) molecules are approximately 80 nucleotides in length. Their secondary structure includes four short double-helical elements and three loops (D, anti-codon, and T loops). Further hydrogen bonds mediate the characteristic L-shaped molecular structure. tRNAs have two regions of fundamental functional importance: the anti-codon, which is responsible for specific mRNA codon recognition, and the 3' end, to which the tRNAs corresponding amino acid is attached (by aminoacyl-tRNA synthetases). tRNAs cope with the degeneracy of the genetic code in two manners: having more than one tRNA (with a specific anti-codon) for a particular amino acid; and 'wobble' base-pairing, i.e. permitting non-standard base-pairing at the 3rd anti-codon position.
Source: RNAcentral
GGAUUGUAGCUCAGUGGUAGAGCACUUGCCUAGCACAUGUGAGGCCCUGGGUUCAAUCCUCAGCACCA